RNAcentral lists this long non-coding RNA (496 nucleotides) under Carica papaya (papaya). RNAcentral describes it as "long non-coding RNA (CPAP_LNC016436)". Lineage: Eukaryota; Viridiplantae; Streptophyta; Magnoliopsida; Brassicales; Caricaceae. The record is from RNAcentral.
UUAGCACUACUCUAGAGAGCCGAAUCUUAUUAAGUGAAAGUUAAAGGGAAGAGAAAAACCACAUCAAAUUGGUCAUGUCGAUACCUAAAGGAGAAACUAGGGGCGGCGACGACUGUUGACAGGUCGUUCCUAGAUCUUGAACCAGAAAAUCUGAUCGGCGCACGGAUAAGACAAAUGCGUGUGGCCAGAGACGAUCAGUUCGGGGUGAUCUACGUGACUGGAGAGGAGCUGAAUCUGACACCAGAAAAUCCAUUCACCAUAUCAAUGCCAAGAGAAGCACGGUUGUGCGAGAAAGGACCAGUGGUGUUUGGAACAAGCACAGCAUGGAUCUGAAUGGAUCUGACAGGAGAAGACGAACCAACACGACCGUCAGCUGGAUUGCAGGAAGCUAAAUACGCAACGUUUUCGACCAAUUUUAGGCCAAUUUUCAUUAGAUCCAUACCAAAUCUUAGCAAACGUAAGCUUCUCUGCUGAUUCCUAGCUAAUUCUUAUAGAC